Long non-coding RNA from Myzus persicae (green peach aphid), 626 nucleotides. RefSeq lists it as uncharacterized. The transcript is spliced from 2 exons. The record is from RefSeq and is a predicted model, not a curated record. NCBI's taxonomy places the organism in Eukaryota, Metazoa, Arthropoda, Insecta, Hemiptera, Aphididae.
AUAUAUUAUUAUCUAAUAUCUAUAAUAAUAAGCGUGUCAAUCGUUUCAGAUGAAACGAUUAUCUCGGCGUCUGAGACAUAGCAAAGUGAAAUUCGACAUCUGUGGUAUGGUGACGGUGGACAAGACGCUUUUAUCAUCGGCAGUGAUCAGUGUAAUUUCGUAUUUGGUGAUCGUGUUGCAGUACAACUACAGUUAAACCAAAUCUCAGCGAAUCGGUUUAAUUUUAACAAUAGCGUAUAUCCGCGGCCACAACACGUAUAUUAUGAUACAUUAAAUGUACAAUAUGUCUCUUAAAUCCCAAUUACGUUGCUAUUAUACAAGCCGAGUUCAUCAUUAUCCUAAUAUUGUUUAAACAUAUUAUACUUGACAUCCUUGUCAUGACUUGAACAGGUACACGCUGAACCACUAACACUAAUAGACGGAUGGAUAAACGGCGAUUAAUACAUAUAUACAUUAUAUUCUGAUAUAUUGCCGUGUACGAUAAUAAUUGUAAUUUUAUUAACUUUUCAUUUGUGUACCAUAGGUACCCAUUACCCUGUAUAGUUACACAAUUCAAUAGUAUACUAAAGUAUAGUUUGAAAUAUUCAAAAUUGUAUACAACAACACAAAUAAAAGAUUUCUUUCAA